GAUGAACGCUGGCGGCGUGCUUAACACAUGCAAGUCGAGCGAAGCACUUAUCAUUGACUCUUCGGAAGAUUUGAUAUUUGACUGAGCGGCGGACGGGUGAGUAACGCGUGGGUAACCUGCCUCAUACAGGGGAAUAACAGUUAGAAAUGGCUGCUAAUGCCGCAUAAGCGCACAGGACCGCAUGGUCCGGUGUGAAAAACUGAGGUGGUAUGAGAUGGACCCGCGUCUGAUUAGGUAGUUGGUGGGGUAACGGCCUACCAAGCCGACGAUCAGUAGCCGGCCUGAGAGGGUGAACGGCCACAUUGGGACUGAGACACGGCCCAGACUCCUACGGGAGGCAGCAGUGGGGAAUAUUGCACAAUGGGGGAAACCCUGAUGCAGCGACGCCGCGUGAAGGAAGAAGUAUCUCGGUAUGUAAACUUCUAUCAGCAGGGAAGAAAAUGACG
Molecule: ribosomal RNA, 446 nt
Filed under: uncultured bacterium
Lineage: Bacteria
Description: bacterial SSU rRNA
Rfam family: Bacterial small subunit ribosomal RNA
Source: RNAcentral